Molecule: ribosomal RNA, 180 nt
Filed under: uncultured bacterium
Lineage: Bacteria
Description: partial 16S ribosomal RNA
Rfam family: Bacterial small subunit ribosomal RNA
Source: RNAcentral
CGAAGUUGGAAUUGCUAGUAAUCGUGGAUCAGCAUGCCACGGUGAAUACGUUCCCGGGUCUUGUACACACCGCCCGUCACACCAUGGGAGCUGGUAACACCCGAAGUCAGUAGUCUAACCGCAAGGAGGACGCUGCCGAAGGUGGGAUUAGCGACUGGGGUGAAGUCGUAACAAGGUAAC